RNAcentral lists this ribosomal RNA (492 nucleotides) under uncultured bacterium. RNAcentral's name for it is "partial 16S ribosomal RNA". It matches the Rfam family "Bacterial small subunit ribosomal RNA", at positions 29 to 507 of the family's 1533-position model. The record is from RNAcentral.
AGUGAACGCUGGCGGUAGGCCUAACACAUGCAAGUCGAACGGCGGCACAUUAAGAGCUUGCUCUUACGGGUGGCGAGUGGCGGACGGGUGAGGAAUACAUCGGAAUCUACUUUUUCGUGGGGGAUAACGUAGGGAAACUUACGCUAAUACCGCAUACGACCUACGGGUGAAAGCAGGGGAUCUUCGGACCUUGCGCGAUUGAAUGAGCCGAUGUCGGAUUAGCUAGUUGGCGGGGUAAAGGCCCACCAAGGCGACGAUCCGUAGCUGGUCUGAGAGGAUGAUCAGCCACACUGGAACUGAGACACGGUCCAGACUCCUACGGGAGGCAGCAGUGGGGAAUAUUGGACAAUGGGCGCAAGCCUGAUCCAGCCAUACCGCGUGGGUGAAGAAGGCCUUCGGGUUGUAAAGCCCUUUUGUUGGGAAAGAAAAGCAGCAGGUUAAUACCCCGCUGUUCUGACGGUACCCAAAGAAUAAGCACCGGCUAACUUCGUG